This 72-nucleotide transfer RNA is filed under the name Marmota monax (woodchuck). Its description in RNAcentral is "tRNA.Ala". Lineage: Eukaryota; Metazoa; Chordata; Mammalia; Rodentia; Sciuridae. The record is from RNAcentral.
GGGGCGCAGCUCAGUGGAAGAGCACUCACCUGGCAUGUGCAAGGCCCUGGGUUCAAUCCUCAGUACCCCCCA